UACGGAGGUGGCAAGCGUUGUUCGGAAUUACUGGGCGUAAAGGGCGCGUAGGCGGCGCGGCAAGUCAGGUGUGAAAGCCCCGGGCUUAACUCGGGAACUGCAUCUGAAACUGCCAUGCUUGAGUCCUGGAGGGGGUAGUGGAAUUCCCAGUGUAGCGGUGAAAUGCGUAGAUAUUGGGAGGAACACCUGUGGCGAAGGCGGCUACCUGGACAGUGACUGACGCUGAGGCGCGAAAGCUAGGGGAGCGAACGGG
Molecule: ribosomal RNA, 253 nt
Filed under: uncultured bacterium
Lineage: Bacteria
Description: partial 16S ribosomal RNA
Rfam family: Bacterial small subunit ribosomal RNA
Source: RNAcentral